RNAcentral lists this transfer RNA (67 nucleotides) under Heterotarsus carinula. Its description in RNAcentral is "tRNA-Ile". The record is from RNAcentral. Lineage: Eukaryota; Metazoa; Arthropoda; Insecta; Coleoptera; Tenebrionidae.
UAAUGAAGUGCCUGAAAAAAGGGCUAUUUUGAUAGAAUAGAUUAUGUGUCACUACCACCUUCAUUAU